RNAcentral lists this ribosomal RNA (495 nucleotides) under uncultured bacterium. Its description in RNAcentral is "partial 16S ribosomal RNA". It matches the Rfam family "Bacterial small subunit ribosomal RNA", at positions 28 to 507 of the family's 1533-position model. The record is from RNAcentral.
GACGAACGCUGGCGGCGUGCCUAAUACAUGCAAGUAGAACGCUGAAGGAGGAGCUUGCUUCUCUGGAUGAGUUGCGAACGGGUGAGUAACGCGUAGGUAACCUGCCUGGUAGCGGGGGAUAACUAUUGGAAACGAUAGCUAAUACCGCGUAAUAGUAGAUGUUGCAUGACAUUUGCUUAAAAGGUGCAAUUGCAUCACUACCAGAUGGACCUGCGUUGUAUUAGCUAGUUGGUGAGGUAACGGCUCACCAAGGCAACGAUACAUAGCCGACCUGAGAGGGUGAUCGGCCACACUGGGACUGAGACACGGCCCAGACUCCUACGGGAGGCAGCAGUAGGGAAUCUUCGGCAAUGGACGGAAGUCUGACCGAGCAACGCCGCGUGAGUGAAGAAGGUUUUCGGAUCGUAAAGCUCUGUUGUAAGAGAAGAACGAGUGUGAGAGUGGAAAGUUCACACUGUGACGGUAUCUUACCAGAAAGGGACGGCUAACUACGUG